Molecule: long non-coding RNA, 245 nt
Filed under: Lathyrus oleraceus (garden pea)
Lineage: Eukaryota; Viridiplantae; Streptophyta; Magnoliopsida; Fabales; Fabaceae
Description: Pisum sativum (pea) long non-coding RNA (PSAT_LNC037174)
Source: RNAcentral
UUGAUCUUGCAUAAGAUCAAGGGGAGAAAAGAAGAUACAAUCGAUAUCAAAUAUUGAAUUUGAGGAAUUGGAUUGCUAUUUCUUCUCUUGUAUAACAUUUUACAAAAGGUUAUAGAAACUAUCACAAAACUCAUACUUUCUCAAGCAUUUAACACAAGCUAAAAACUCAUCAGAUAGACGUGGAGUGUUCCUUUUUGGACGAAGUCCUCGAGGAACAAGGAUAAAUGGAACUACUAUUGAGAAAC